UAAGGGUGCAUGGUGGAUGCCUAGGCGUUCAGAGGCGACGAAAGACGUGUGAGCCUGCGAUAAGCUCCGGGGAGUUGGCAACAAAGCUUUGAUCCGGAGAUCUCUGAAUGGGGAAACCUGUUACCGCCCAAUAAGCGGUUUCACUGGCGGGUGAAUGUAUAGUCCGUCAGAGUCAACCCGGGGAACUGAAACAUCUCAGUACCCGGAGGAAAGGACAUCAACCGAGACUCCGCUAGUAGUGGCGAGCGAACGCGGACCAGGCCAGUGGUCAUGUCGAGAGAACCGGAACCGUCUGGAAAGUCGGGCCGUAGCGGGUGACAGCCCCGUACGGGUAGUGCUCGAUAUGAUCCUCGAGUAGGGCGGGGCACGUGAAACCCUGCCUGAACGUGGGGGGACCACCCUCCAAGCCUAAGUACUCCUUGCCGACCGAUAGCGAACCAGUACCGUGAGGGAAAGGUGAAAAGCACCCCGACAAGGGGAGUGAAACAGACCUGAAACUGAACGC
RNAcentral lists this ribosomal RNA (505 nucleotides) under uncultured Symbiodinium. RNAcentral describes it as "partial Bacterial large subunit ribosomal RNA". It matches the Rfam family "Bacterial large subunit ribosomal RNA", at positions 12 to 563 of the family's 2925-position model. The record is from RNAcentral. Lineage: Eukaryota; Dinophyceae; Suessiales; Symbiodiniaceae.